GCACCCUCGUUCCUGAGGCCUUUCUCCCGUCAAGACGCUCGCGUGAGCAGGUGAAAAAGAUGAGCGCAUAAUAAAGAACGGCAUUAAAUGUUUUUUUUUAUGUCAGUAAAAGUACAACCAAGAUGUGCUGGCAAUACGUUAAAUUCAGCGAAUACGUUUGAGAGGUUGCCCAAGUCACAAGAAGUUUACAAGGCUGCAUCAGCCAACAUUAAAAUGCGUAUCGCAAGCAGUCUAGGAUCGGUAUUCAAGGAAAAUGGAGGGCAGUUCCAAACAGGCUCUAGCACUUGCGUGCUCAGUCUCCCAGAGAAACUUGCCUCCAGUGUCCUGCCCUGAGGGACGAAGAUGAGAUUGCGAACUCCUACUGAGAGUGAUGGAUGGACAAUGGGUGCAUUCUGUUACAAGACUAACUCUUUGAUGUCAAGUGAUACCUGGUAAGCGGCAAUGGACAAAAUGGCGUCCAAGUGGUGUGCAUCUAAAACCGCAUCCGUUGCCGCAUGCUCCAGAAGAGGCUUGCUUCCCACGUUCUGCCCUGUGUGAAGAAGAGAUGGCGAACUCCUACUGAGAAUGAUGGAUACAUUCUGUCGCAGGACUCCAAUCCAUCGAUGACCAAAGUUAUACAUGGAUAAUGGACAAGAUGACGUCCCAAUGGUGUGCAUCUGAAACUGCAUCCGUUGAUGCGUGCUCAGUCUCCCAGAGAAACUUGCCUCCAGUGUCCUGCCCUGAGGGACGAAGAUGAGAUUGCGAACUCCUACUGAGAAUGAUGAAUACAUUCUGUCGCAGGACUCCAAUCCAUCGAUGACCAAAGUUAUACAUGACAGAAAGUGGGAUAGAAGAUGGAUACAUUCUGUUGCGAGGCUCCAACCCCCUUUGUAUUUGGUCCAGCUGCCUGGUGGCGAUCUACUUGGAGGUCUUGCUGCCGUUGUGGCAAUGAAAGUUCAACUGGGUUUGCAAUGUUGAGGUAUUGCCCUGCCAAGACAACAGAUGACACCAGGAUCACUUGCAGACAUUGACAAGGACUUGAGGAUGAUGCUUGUUGAAGAGCUUCCGUCGUGAAGAGCUGCUCCGCCAGGAGACAUUUCAUUGUGUGGACUGUGUAUCCAUGGCUGUAUUUUGUGCCAAUGGCAAAUUAACUUUGAUUUGAUCUCCCAAAGUCUCCAAGAGUCAAGUCAUGUAGGUGGUAUUCCUCUUGGCGUUGUCCUUGGACUCCCUUCUACUACAGUUCUCCCCCAAGUUAAAGUACUUUGAUAACUGCUGAUGUAAAACAAUGUUUUUGAUAUAAUGAACUUUUAAAUUACCACCAAUAAAAAGUUGUGAUUGCAGCAUUUGAAUAAAGAAUGAAUGGUCAUCCUUGCA
Oncorhynchus gorbuscha (pink salmon) is the source of this 1353-nucleotide long non-coding RNA. RefSeq lists it as uncharacterized. The transcript is spliced from 15 exons. The record is from RefSeq and is a predicted model, not a curated record. NCBI's taxonomy places the organism in Eukaryota, Metazoa, Chordata, Actinopteri, Salmoniformes, Salmonidae.